GACGAACCGUGCGAACGUUAUUCGGAUUCACUGGGCUUAAAGGGCGCGUAGGCGGGCUCGCCAGUCAGGGGUGAAAGCCUCCAGCUCAACUGGAGAAGUGCCUUUGAUACUGCGAGUCUCGAGGGAGGUAGGGGCGUGCGGAACUUCCGGUGGAGCGGUGAAAUGCGUAGAUAUCGGAAGGAACACCGGUGGCGAAAGCGGCGCGCUGGACCUCUUCUGACGCUGAGGCGCGAAAGCCAGGGGAGCAAACGGG
RNAcentral lists this ribosomal RNA (253 nucleotides) under uncultured bacterium. RNAcentral describes it as "partial 16S ribosomal RNA". It matches the Rfam family "Bacterial small subunit ribosomal RNA", at positions 524 to 776 of the family's 1533-position model. The record is from RNAcentral.